AGAGUUUGAUCAUGGCUCAGAAUCAACGCUGGCGGCGUGCCUAACACAUGCAAGUCGAACGCGAAAGGGGCUUCGGCCCUGAGUAGAGUGGCGAACGGGUGAGUAACACGUGGGUGAUCUACCUUCGAGUGGGGGAUAACGUUCCGAAAGGAACGCUAAUACCGCAUGACGUUCUGGGUUUAAAGACCUGGAAACCAAAGCCGGGGACCGCAAGGCCUGGCGCUUGAAGAGGAGCCCGCGUCCGAUUAGCUAGUUGGCGGGGUAAUGGCCCACCAAGGCGACGAUCGGUAGCCGGCCUGAGAGGGCGGACGGCCACACUGGAACUGAGACACGGUCCAGACUCCUACGGGAGGCAGCAGUGGGGAAUUGUUCACAAUGGGCGCAAGCCUGAUGACGCAACGCCGCGUGGGGGAUGAAGGUCUUCGGAUUGUAAACCCUGUCGAACGGGACGAAAGACCCUGGAGCUAAUCAUCCAGGGAGUGACGGUACCGUUAAA
This 496-nucleotide ribosomal RNA is filed under the name uncultured Acidobacteriota bacterium. RNAcentral's name for it is "bacterial SSU rRNA". It matches the Rfam family "Bacterial small subunit ribosomal RNA", at positions 8 to 485 of the family's 1533-position model. The record is from RNAcentral. Lineage: Bacteria; Pseudomonadati; Acidobacteriota.